UGGGGAAUCUUCCGCAAUGGACGAAAGUCUGACGGAGCAACGCCGCGUGAGUGAAGACGGCCUUCGGGUUGUAAAGCUCUGUGAUCCGGGACGAAAGAGCCUGAGGUGAAUAGCCUAAGGAAGUGGCGGUACCGGAAAAGCAAGCCACGGCUAACUACGUGCCAGCAGCCGCGGUAAUACGUAGGUGGCAAGCGUUGUCCGGAAUUAUUGGGCGUAAAGCGCGCGCAGGCGGCUUCCUAAGUCCAUCUUAAAAGUGCGGGGCUUAACCCCGUGAUGGGAUGGAAACUGGGAAGCUGGAGUAUCGGAGAGGAAAGUGGAAUUCCUAGUGUAGCGGUGAAAUGCGUAGAGAUUAGGAAGAACACCGGUGGCGGAGGCGACUUUCUGGACGAAAACUGACGCUGAGGCGCGAAAGCGUGGGGAGCAAACAGG
This 429-nucleotide ribosomal RNA is filed under the name Fusobacteriota bacterium. RNAcentral's name for it is "Fusobacteria bacterium partial 16S ribosomal RNA". It matches the Rfam family "Bacterial small subunit ribosomal RNA", at positions 355 to 776 of the family's 1533-position model. Lineage: Bacteria; Fusobacteriati; Fusobacteriota. The record is from RNAcentral.